AAAAUAAAUAAAAACCCUAAAAAAAUUUUAGAGUUGUACACCUCCCUCCCCACCCUCUGCUCUUACCACUUCACCAUUCUCCCUUUCUUUUUCCCUUCUUCAUCUAUUCCCCAUUCAUUGUUAUUUCAUCGAUAAUCAAAGAAACCGAGUUCUCUCCCAAUUUCUCUCUUUUUGUACUAUCCCCCAAUUUUCCCUAUGGAUUUGAGCACCAAGACUUCA
Molecule: unclassified non-coding RNA, 219 nt
Filed under: Hevea brasiliensis (rubber tree)
Lineage: Eukaryota; Viridiplantae; Streptophyta; Magnoliopsida; Malpighiales; Euphorbiaceae
Source: RNAcentral